UACGUAGGGUGCGAGCGUUGAUCGGAAUUACUGGGCGUAAAGCGUGCGUAGGCGGUUUUGUAAGUCAGGUGUGAAAUCCCCGGGCUUAACCUGGGAAUGGCAUUUGGGACUGCAAGGCUGGAGUGCGGCAGAGGAGACUGGAAUUCCUGGUGUAGCAGUGAAAUGCGUAGAUAUCAGGAGGAACACCGAUGGCGAAGGCAGGUCUCUGGGCUGACACUGACGCUCAUGCACGAAAGCCAGGGGAGCGAACGGG
RNAcentral lists this ribosomal RNA (253 nucleotides) under uncultured bacterium. Its description in RNAcentral is "partial 16S ribosomal RNA". It matches the Rfam family "Bacterial small subunit ribosomal RNA", at positions 524 to 776 of the family's 1533-position model. The record is from RNAcentral.